This 324-nucleotide ribosomal RNA is filed under the name Arytainilla spartiophila (broom psyllid). Its description in RNAcentral is "partial 12S ribosomal RNA". The record is from RNAcentral. Lineage: Eukaryota; Metazoa; Arthropoda; Insecta; Hemiptera; Psyllidae.
GAGUAGUAGUAGUUAAGAUCUUGAAACUCAAAAAAUUUGGCGGUAUUUUAUCUUAUUAGAGGAACCUGUUUAUUAAUUGAUAUUCCACAACUUUAAUUUACUUUUACUAAAUUACUUGUAUAUCGUUGUCAUGAAUCUAUUAAAAAGUGAUUUUCAAGAUUUUUUAUAAAAUUUAUGUUAGAUCAAGGUGCAGUCUGUAAAAGAAAAAAAUGGGUUACAUUAGUUACUAUGAAUGAAUAUUAUUAUUGGAAAAUAUUGGAAAAGGGAUUUAAAAGUAAAAUAAAAUUAAUAAAGAUUUUUCAUGAAUUUAGAUUCUAGAAUAUG